This 1228-nucleotide long non-coding RNA is filed under the name Urocitellus parryii (Arctic ground squirrel). RNAcentral's name for it is "lncRNA (ENSUPAG00010022993.1)". The record is from RNAcentral. Lineage: Eukaryota; Metazoa; Chordata; Mammalia; Rodentia; Sciuridae.
AUGCUCUCUCCUUGGCUCCCUCUUUCUCGGUCUCAGAGGUCAGAGGCGGCUGGCUGCCCACUGCUCCUAGGGAGGGCCUUACCUUUGCAGCUGCUCCACCUGCAGUGCCGACUUCCUGAGGCACUCUUCCAACUGAGAGAUCUAGACACAAUGAGAGGACUUCUGUUCUCAGCCAGACGUGCCAGCAACCCUGAGAAGAACCCAUCUGGCGGCUGCUUAAGUUAUUAAAUGGCUCGGAAAGCAAAAUGUCAAGAUCUGGACCUGUCACUUGCCAAACUACAGAAAGAGACUUAAUGAUCAGGUCCCUUGGUCAAGUCUGUGCAGGUGGCUGACAGCACCUGUCCUCUAGGAGUGUGAGAGGACUGAGAAGGUAAGUCCCUUGGUCAUGUUUGUGUAGGUGGCUGACAGCACCUGUCCUCUAGGUGUGUGCGAGGACUGAGAAGGUAAGUCCCCUGGUCAUGUCUGUGCAGGUGGCUGACAGCACCUGUCCUCUAGGAGUGUGAGAGGACUGAGAAGGUAAGUCCCCUGGUCAUGUCUGUGCAGGUGGCUGACAGCACCUGUCCUCUAGGUGUGUGAGGACUGAGAAGGUAAGUCCCCUGGUUAUGUCUGUGCAGGUAGCUGACAGCACCUGUCCUCUAGGUGUGCAAGAGGACUGAGAAGGUAAGUCCCUUGGUCAUGUCUGUGCAGGUGGUGAUGAUCAGGAGGAGAUAGAGACAAUAUUACGUUGCCUGAUAGCUCAUCUUCACGGUCCUAGAAAACAAAAUGAAAUUUGAAUCGAACAUUAAAGGUGCUCCAGUGGCAACAGGUCAUUUGAUUUACCUUUGCUCUAUAGAAGGCUAACAAUCUCUUCCUGUGUUUUUCUUGAAAUUCUGAAACCUGAGGAGACAACAAGCUCACUGUAGGUGCUGCUCAGGCUCACCCUACACUUCCUGAGGAAACACACGGCURCAAAGGACUGUUAGUGUGGGGACCAACACUCUGUCUUGCCCUUCCCCAGUAGACCCCCUUCUGUACCCACAGGCAGGUUCCAUUUGGUAGGGAGGCUCCUGCCGGCUGCCCAUGGCCAGCUGCUGUCCAGAAUGGAUGCUUGGCACAGAUGUCCCUCCAUAGGGAAGGCCAGCAGGAGGCCAAAUGCAAACACAGAUGAGCCUGUUCCCUGCCAAGGGCUGUGUCUCCCUGGUGAUGUUCCUGUCGCCCUGAUGUGGAAAGGCACAAGACCCCGCUGACU